This 498-nucleotide ribosomal RNA is filed under the name uncultured bacterium. RNAcentral's name for it is "bacterial SSU rRNA". It matches the Rfam family "Bacterial small subunit ribosomal RNA", at positions 32 to 504 of the family's 1533-position model. The record is from RNAcentral.
UCAACGCUGGCGGCGUGCCUAACACAUGCAAGUCGAGCGAGAAAGGGGGCUUCGGCCCCUGAGUACAGCGGCGGACGGGUGAGUAACGCGUGGGUAAUCUACCCUCGAGUGGGGAAUAACACUGGGAAACUGGUGCUAAUACCGCAUAACACCUCCGGGCCCUCGGGUCUGGGGAUCAAAGCUGGGGACCGUAAGGCCUAGCGCUUGGGGAGGAGCCCGCGUCCGAUUAGCUUGUUGGCGGGGUAAUGGCCCACCAAGGCUUCGAUCGGUAGCCGGCCUGAGAGGGCGGACGGCCACACUGGGACUGAGACACGGCCCAGACUCCUACGGGAGGCAGCAGUGGGGAAUUUUUCGCAAUGGGGGAAACCCUGACGAAGCAACGCCGCGUGGAGGAUGAAGGCCUUCGGGUCGUAAACUCCUGUCGAUCGGGACGAAAGCGCCUCGGCCUAAUACGUCGGGGUGUUGACUGUACCGGUGGAGGAAGCUCCGGCUAACUCU